GAUGAACGCUGGCGGCGUGCCUAAUACAUGCAAGUCGAGCGAACGGACGAGAAGCUUGCUUCUCUGAUGUUAGCGGCGGACGGGUGAGUAACACGUGGAUAACCUACCUAUAAGACUGGGAUAACUUCGGGAAACCGGAGCUAAUACCGGAUAAUAUUUUGAACCGCAUGGUUCAAAAGUGAAAGACGGUCUUGCUGUCACUUAUAGAUGGAUCCGCACUGCAUUAGCUAGUUGGUAAGGUAACGGCUUACCAAGGCAACGAUGCAUAGCCGACCUGAGAGGGUGAUCGGCCACACUGGAACUGAGACACGGUCCAGACUCCUACGGGAGGCAGCAGUAGGGAAUCUUCCGCAAUGGGCGAAAGCCUGACGGAGCAACGCCGCGUGAGUGAUGAAGGUCUUCGGAUCGUAAAACUCUGUUAUUAGGGAAGAACAUAUGUGUAAGUAACUGUGCACAUCUUGACGGUACCUAAUCAGAAAGCCACGGCUAACUACGUG
Molecule: ribosomal RNA, 497 nt
Filed under: uncultured bacterium
Lineage: Bacteria
Description: partial 16S ribosomal RNA
Rfam family: Bacterial small subunit ribosomal RNA
Source: RNAcentral